Molecule: ribosomal RNA, 254 nt
Filed under: uncultured bacterium
Lineage: Bacteria
Description: partial 16S ribosomal RNA
Rfam family: Bacterial small subunit ribosomal RNA
Source: RNAcentral
UACGGGGGGAGCAAGCGUUGUUCGGAUUUACUGGGCGUAAAGGGCGCGUAGGCGGCCAGCACAAGUCAGUUGUGAAAUCUCCGAGCUUAACUCGGAAAGGUCAACUGAUACUGUGCGGCUAGAGCGCAGAAGGGGCAACUGGAAUUCUUGGUGUAGCGGUGAAAUGCGUAGAUAUCAAGAGGAACACCUGCGGCGAAGGCGGGUUGCUGGGCUGACACUGACGCUGAGGCGCGAAAGCUAGGGGAGCGAACGGG